This 254-nucleotide ribosomal RNA is filed under the name uncultured bacterium. RNAcentral describes it as "partial 16S ribosomal RNA". It matches the Rfam family "Bacterial small subunit ribosomal RNA", at positions 524 to 776 of the family's 1533-position model. The record is from RNAcentral.
UACGUAGGGUGCGAGCGUUGUCCGGAAUUAUUGGGCGUAAAGAGCUCGUAGGCGGUGUGUCGCGUCGGCCGUGAAAACCUGGGGCUCAACUCUGGGCGUGCGGUCGAUACGGGCAUCACUUGAGUUCGGCAGGGGAGACUGGAAUUCCUGGUGUAGCGGUGAAAUGCGUAGAGAUCUGGAGGAACACCGAUGGCGAAGGCAGCCUUCUGGGCCAACACUGACGCUCAUGCACGAAAGCGUGGGGAGCAAACAGG